UAUCAGUUUCGUUUAUUUGAUAGUACCUUACUACAUGGAUAACCGUGGUAAUUCUAGAGCUAAUACAUGCUAAAAACCUCGACUUCGGAAGGGGUGUAUUUAUUAGAUAAAAAACCAAUGCCCUUCGGGGCUCCUUGGUGAAUCAUAAUAACUUAACGAAUCGCAUGGCCUUGCGCCGGCGAUGGUUCAUUCAAAUUUCUGCCCUAUCAACUUUCGAUGGUAGGAUAGUGGCCUACCAUGGUAUCAACGGGUAACGGGGAAUUAGGGUUCGACUCCGGAGAGGGAGCCUGAGAAACGGCUACCACAUCCAAGGAAGGCAGCAGGCGCGCAAAUUACCCAAUCCCGACACGGGGAGGUAGUGACAAUAAAUACUGAUACAGGGCUCUUUUGGGUCUUGUAAUUGGAAUGAGUACAAUUUAAAUCCCUUAACGAGGAACAAUUGGAGGGCAAGUCUGGUGCCAGCAGCCGCGGUAAUUCCAGCUCCAAUAGCGUAUAUUAAAGUUGUUGCAGUUAAAAAGCUCGUAGUUGAACCUUGGGCCUGGCUGGCCGGUCCGCCUCACCGCGUGUACUGGUCCGGCCGGGCCUUUCCUUCUGGGGAACCUCAUGCCCUUCACUGGGCGUGUUGGGGAACCAGGACUUUUACUUUGAAAAAAUUAGAGUGUUCAAAGCAGGCCUUUGCUCGAAUACAUUAGCAUGGAAUAAUAGAAUAGGACGUGUGGUUCUAUUUUGUUGGUUUCUAGGACCGCCGUAAUGAUUAAUAGGGAUAGUCGGGGGCAUCAGUAUUCAAUCGUCAGAGGUGAAAUUCUUGGAUUGAUUGAAGACUAACUACUGCGAAAGCAUUUGCCAAGGAUGUUUUCAUUAAUCAGUGAACG
RNAcentral lists this ribosomal RNA (872 nucleotides) under uncultured fungus. Its description in RNAcentral is "SSU rRNA". It matches the Rfam family "Eukaryotic small subunit ribosomal RNA", at positions 104 to 985 of the family's 1831-position model. The record is from RNAcentral. Lineage: Eukaryota; Fungi.